RNAcentral lists this ribosomal RNA (717 nucleotides) under Rhinogobius similis (barecheek goby). RNAcentral's name for it is "partial small subunit ribosomal RNA". It matches the Rfam family "Bacterial small subunit ribosomal RNA", at positions 513 to 1533 of the family's 1533-position model. Lineage: Eukaryota; Metazoa; Chordata; Actinopteri; Gobiiformes; Gobiidae. The record is from RNAcentral.
CACCGCGGUUAUACGAGAGGCCCAAGUUGACAACUACCGGCGUAAAAUGUGGCUAAUAUAGUAUUACACUAAAGCUAAACAUCUUCAAAGCUGUUAUACGCAUCCGAAGACAGGAUGCCCUUCCACGAAAGUGGCUUUAAACAAUAUUAACCCACGAAAGCUAGGAAACAAACUGGGAUUAGAUACCCCACUAUGCCUAGCCUUAAACAAAAGCGAUUUAUUUACACCCCUCGCUUGCCAGGGAACUACGAGCCCCAGCUUAAAACCCAAAGGACUUGGCGGUGCUUUAGACCCACCUAGAGGAGCCUGUUCUAGAACCGAUAACCCCCGUUCAACCUCACCUUCUCUUGUUUUUCCCGCCUAUAUACCGCCGUCGUCAGCUUACCCUGUGAAGGGUACAUAGUGAGCACAAUUGGUACAACCCAAAACGUCAGGUCGAGGUGUAGCGUACGAGAAGGGAAGAAAUGGGCUACAUUUACUGAACCAGUAAACACGGAUAAUGCCUUGAAACAGACAUUUAAAGGAGGAUUUAGCAGUAAGAGAGGAAUAGAGCGCCCCUCUGAAACUGGCCCUGAAGCGCGCACACACCGCCCGUCACUCUCCCCCACAACCCUAGUGAUAACUUUAAAUAAAAUAUAACUUUAAUAAAGGGGAGGCAAGUCGUAACAUGGUAAGUGUACCGGAAGGUGCACUUGGAAAAAUCAGAGCGUAGCUAAA